Molecule: ribosomal RNA, 302 nt
Filed under: Staphylococcus aureus
Lineage: Bacteria; Bacillati; Bacillota; Bacilli; Caryophanales; Staphylococcaceae
Description: partial 23S ribosomal RNA
Rfam family: Bacterial large subunit ribosomal RNA
Source: RNAcentral
CAUCUCCUAAGGCUAAAUACUCUCUAGUGACCGAUAGUGAACCAGUACCGUGAGGGAAAGGUGAAAAGCACCCCGGAAGGGGAGUGAAAUAGAACCUGAAACCGUGUGCUUACAAGUAGUCAAAGCCCGUUAAUGGGUGAUGGCGUGCCUUUUGUAGAAUGAACCGGCGAGUUACGAUUUGAUGCAAGGUUAAGCAGUAAAUGUGGAGCCGUAGCGAAAGCGAGUCUGAAUAGGGCGUUUAGUAUUUGGUCGUAGACCCGAAACCAGGUGAUCUACCCUUGGUCAGGUUGAAGUUCAGGUAA